GUUGAAACACCAGUUCUCAUCUGAUCAUCAAAGUUAAGCAACAUUGAGCCUGGUCAGUACUCAGAUCGAUGAUCACUGGGGAAGAUCAAGUAC
Non-coding RNA from Acanthosepion pharaonis, 93 nucleotides. Lineage: Eukaryota; Metazoa; Mollusca; Cephalopoda; Sepiida; Sepiidae. The record is from the annotation of a GenBank genome assembly.